AAAAUAUUCAUUAUGUUUUUUGACUGAUGGUGGCAAACUGAUCCUGGAUGUGAUGCUUAACCCUUCUGGAGUUGAUGUUGUUUGAUAUCUUGCUUGGCCUCCUCCCCUCUUAGGCAAAAUUCCCCCUUUUUAAAAUUAUAUUAUUUUUAAUUGAUAUUAUUUAAUAGUUCUAGAGCAGUUUGUCAUCUUGAGGACAGUCUGGGCUCAAAGACUCGCCCAUGGUUUCUGAAAUUAUUUUCAGUGCAGCUAAAUAUCUGAUCCAGUCUUUAUAUUUGGAAUAAUACGGUAUUUGGGUUUAAAACUACCUGCCUUUUCCCAGUGGAAAAGCUUUUUUCUGGUUGGUUACUAGCAAAUGUCAUAUGUACUCUGCAAUAAGCCUGUUGCUGUCCAAAUUGAUGAGAAAACCCAAAAGAUUUAUUUCCCCCAAAGGUUCUUAGGCAGAAAACAGACUUGUGUUUUCCAAAACUUUAGGAGGACAAGAGCUCCUACCCUCUUAGUCUAAUCUGUUUUAUCUGCUGUGAGACACUGUGUAUAUUUAUAUACUGAGCAAUUGCAGGACAUCAGUUUCCAUUCUUAUCGAACACAAAUAUUUACCUGAUCCAAGGUCUGCUGAGAUCCAUGGCACUUUAAAAAAUGCAGAUUAACUAGAGAAAUCUAUUUUUUUUCCCAGUUUAAUUUUAGUUGGGUUUCAGGGUAUUUUCUUAGCAACUAAACUUUUUUUUUUAAUAAAGCAACAAACCGAUACAUUAUUGCUUUGCUUUACUCACUACCUCAGCUGUGCGGACUCCCUAAUAUGCUUUCUCAGCCGCAAUUCCUGUCAAUAAGGAAAAUGGGAAUUGUUUUGACAUUAAAUGUCAGUGAGGAAUUGAAACACAGAAGUCAAUUAGCAAUUAAUAUUAUUUAAAUUUAAUGGAAACAAUCCAUAUAAAAACAUCACAUGUGGUAUGACACACCAAUCACUGGAUUUCUGUUUAUCUCUGUGAGCAUCUUCAGGGGCAACGUGGUAUUUCAUGUAAGAGGGGACAAGAAGAGAGGUGGUGCAGGGAUCCAGAUAAAGGAAUUCAGUUGAUUUCAGUCAUCAGAGGGCUUCCAGUGCAAACUGAAGCAUGACCGAGGCCCACAGAUGAUCUCAGAGAGUCCAUGAGAAAGCUCUGGAAAUUAAAAGCAAGGGGUAUCCAAGUGUUUUCUCGUCAAGAAUCCUGUGGAGGAAUGGAGCAAAGGAGUGAAAGAAGGAAAGGAAGGAUCUCUAAUCCCAAAAAGAUGGACUAGGUCAGUGUUACCAGCAGAAGACAUGGAGUACCACUUUAGUAGCCUCAAGUGCACUUGAAUGCUCAAACUGUCUGUGCUGCCAUGUCCCAGCCCCUCUUUCCCCCAGAGGAGCAACAGAAAGAAAUGAAACAACUGCAGUUGAGGAGGGCAAGGAGUUCAGGAAGGCUCUAAUCUCCUGAACUUGCUGGUGGGGGGAUGAGGUGAGAAGAACUUGUUCUUAUUUGCUGAGACAUAGAAGCUUUGUCGUAAGCAAACUUCGUCAAAGUGCCUGAGCACUCCCGCUUGUGUUUCUGCUGACAUGGCUUGAUGGACUUUUGGGUGACCCCAGAUUUUAGGAGCCUGGAGAUCUUUCAGCUGCAGAAGGAUGACUCAAAGUGCAGUAACAUCUGGAAGUGGGCUGGUGAACUGCAAGGCUCAUGUUUAAAAAUAGGAUAAUUUUCUUCUGCAUUUCACAUUCCGUGCUGUUAAAAAGAUCUGGGAAAGUGGAAGACAGACCUGCCACUAUUACAGUGCUUUAGAAGCUUCAGAUUUACUCUGUCAGUUUCCACGGCCAAAGUGGAAAAUAUCUUAAAAUUUCCUGGUUCCUAAUUAUUAAAACAAUAUGAAACCAUCUUGCAGAGGUUGGAAGCUCGGACAGCCAGAAAGACACCUAUGAUCCUAACUUAAAAAGUUUAAAACUAGGUGGGAUCAAUCCAUGCUCCAUGUCUGUUUGCUCUGUGCCCCCUUAAUGAGUGGGGGUGACUUGCCUGUGCCUUUUGUCUGAUGUUUCUUGUUGUCCCCCACUGGCCAAGUUUUCAGCCAAGCCCUGAUUCUGGCUCUGCUUUGUCCCUGUGUCAUGAGUGAUGCUCCCUGCUUGGCAUGUGCCUUGUGCUUAUCUGAAUUGCCUGCAACCCUCUAACGCUCCUCAGCUUAUUACUGCCUCAUUAAUCAUUUGCAGGCAGUUUAUGCUCUCAUCCUGUUUUCCCGCUUUCAGUGUGUUUGCUAAAGAAAACGUGUUCCUAUGAAAUGCUUUGGACAGAGUUGUUUAUGGCAGGAAAUAGAUAUAAAAGAGCAGUUGUGUCAUUGCUGAGCAAAACCCUCUCAGCUGAACAUCCCGGAAGGAACUGGUGAUAACUGCUGUGAGUGUCUCCCUGAGCUGAGCUGUGGGUCAGGUUGUUGUGACUCUGGAGAAAAGGGACUUCAAGUAAUACACAACUUAAAAAUCA
Empidonax traillii (willow flycatcher) is the source of this 2474-nucleotide long non-coding RNA. RefSeq lists it as uncharacterized. The transcript is spliced from 3 exons. NCBI's taxonomy places the organism in Eukaryota, Metazoa, Chordata, Aves, Passeriformes, Tyrannidae. The record is from RefSeq and is a predicted model, not a curated record.